ACGCACGCUGGCGGCGUGCUUAACACCUGCAAGUCGAACGGAAAGGCCCUGCUUUUGUGGGGUGCUCGAGUGGCGAACGGGUGAGUAACACGUGAGUAACCUGCCCUUGACUUUGGGAUAACUUCAGGAAACUGGGGCUAAUACCGGAUAGGAGCUCCUGCUGCAUGGUGGGGGUUGGAAAGUUUCGGCGGUUGGGGAUGGACUCGCGGCUUAUCAGCUUGUUGGUGGGGUAGUGGCUUACCAAGGCUUUGACGGGUAGCCGGCCUGAGAGGGUGACCGGCCACAUUGGGACUGAGAUACGGCCCAGACUCCUACGGGAGGCAGCAGUGGGGAAUAUUGCACAAUGGGCGGAAGCCUGAUGCAGCAACGCCGCGUGCGGGAUGACGGCCUUCGGGUUGUAAACCGCCUUCGCCUGUGACGAAGCGUGAGUGACGGUAAUGGGUAAAGAAGCACCGGCUAACUACGUG
RNAcentral lists this ribosomal RNA (467 nucleotides) under uncultured bacterium. Its description in RNAcentral is "partial 16S ribosomal RNA". It matches the Rfam family "Bacterial small subunit ribosomal RNA", at positions 29 to 507 of the family's 1533-position model. The record is from RNAcentral.